AGUCUGCCUUGAAGAUCGGAGUGCUUGCACUCUGUGAAACAAGAUACAGGCUAGCGGCGGACGGGUGAGUAACACGUGGGUAACCUGCCCAAGAGAUCGGGAUAACACCUGGAAACAGAUGCUAAUACCGGAUAACAACAGAUGAUGCCUAUCAACUGUUUAAAAGAUGGUUCUGCUAUCACUCUUGGAUGGACCUGCGGUGCAUUAGCUAGUUGGUAGGGUAACGGCCUACCAAGGCGAUGAUGCAUAGCCGAGUUGAGAGACUGAUCGGCCACAUUGGGACUGAGACACGGCCCAAACUCCUACGGGAGGCAGCAGUAGGGAAUCUUCCACAAUGGACGCAAGUCUGAUGGAGCAACGCCGCGUGAGUGAAGAAGGGUUUCGGCUCGUAAAGCUCUGUUGUUGGUGAAGAAGGACAGGGGUAGUAACUGACCUUUGUUUGACGGUAAUCAAUUAGAAAGUCACGGCUAACUACGUGCCAGCAGCCGCGGUAAUACGUAGGUGGCAAGCGUUGUCCGGAUUUAUUGGGCGUAAAGCGAGUGCAGGCGGCUCGAUAAGUCUGAUGUGAAAGCCUUCGGCUCAACCGGAGAAUUGCAUCAGAAACUGUCGAGCUUGAGUACAGAAGAGGAGAGUGGAACUCCAUGUGUAGCGGUGAAAUGCGUAGAUAUAUGGAAGAACACCGGUGGCGAAGGCGGCUCUCUGGUCUGUUACUGACGCUGAGGCUCGAAAGCAUGGGUAGCGAACAGGAUUAGAUACCCUGGUAGUCCAUGCCGUAAACGAUGAGUGCUAAGUGUUGGGAGGUUUCCGCCUCUCAGUGCUGCAGCUAACGCAUUAAGCACUCCGCCUGGGGAGUACGACCGCCAGGGUUGAAACUCAAA
This 878-nucleotide ribosomal RNA is filed under the name uncultured Lactobacillus sp. RNAcentral describes it as "bacterial SSU rRNA". It matches the Rfam family "Bacterial small subunit ribosomal RNA", at positions 60 to 905 of the family's 1533-position model. The record is from RNAcentral. Lineage: Bacteria; Bacillati; Bacillota; Bacilli; Lactobacillales; Lactobacillaceae.